RNAcentral lists this ribosomal RNA (253 nucleotides) under uncultured bacterium. RNAcentral describes it as "partial 16S ribosomal RNA". It matches the Rfam family "Bacterial small subunit ribosomal RNA", at positions 524 to 776 of the family's 1533-position model. The record is from RNAcentral.
UACAGAGGUCUCAAGCGUUGUUCGGAUUCAUUGGGCGUAAAGGGUGCGUAGGUGGCGCUGUAAGUCGGGUGUGAAAUUUCGGAGCUUAACUCCGAAACUGCAUUCGAUACUGCGGUGCUUGAGGACUGGAGAGGAGACUGGAAUUCAUGGUGUAGCAGUGAAAUGCGUAGAGAUCAUGAGGAAGACCAGUGGCGAAGGCGGGUCUCUGGACAGUUCCUGACACUGAGGCACGAAGGCCAGGGGAGCGAAUGGG